GUUGUGAUUAAUCUACAUGUCAGGACCAUUAAAAAUCCACUCAGGAUUCGCUUUAGUGGGUUUUACGUAUCAAGAGGGGGGCUCGACACUCAACUGGUGGAAGGAGCGGACGCUCGUUUUGACGUGGAAAAGAAAACUUGAUUUUCAGAAAUUCACGCCACACUCUCUGCAUGCACCCUUCUUCUCCAGAUUCUGAAAAUCUCAUUUUCUCCUCCUUCUCUCCAAAUCUCCUUCAUCUUCUCUCUACGAAAUCUCACCCUUUCUCUUCUCCGAUCUCCGUUCAGACACCGUAGAAGCACUUCCGGCGUCAAGAGCUUCAGUUUGAACCGAUCGGUUUCGGGUUCUGAACUGUUUUGGAGAAUUGUUGAGCGUUGAGGGUAGAAGGACUUAUAGUAGGGUGAACCGUAUUUCUGCCUCAGUGAACGUUCGGUCACGCUAGAGGUAAGAGAAGCUUAUCUAAUUUAAUUUGUAUGUUGUUGUAUUGCAUGAACGUUCGUUGAGUUGCUAAAUUAAAAUGAAGCAUGAUUGUUGAGAUGUGUGACUAUAUGAAAUAUGAUGGUUGCUAUGUUCUGAUAUAUGAAGUAUAAGAAAUUUACUAUGAUAUGAAUGUAUGAAAUUAUGAAGAUAUAUGGUGAGAAUUGAAUUGAGAUAAAUGAUUUCUAAGUAUGAAAUUUCCCCUAUGAAAGUGUACGUUCGUCACUGAUGAAAAUAGCGUUCGUCCAACUUCAAUAGAGUUCUCUCCCUACCGUGCUCGGUCAUUGACUGGCAUUCGGUUUUCUUGAUGUGAAUUCAAAUAAGCUAAGUAUUUAUAAGCGUACGGUUUCUUCAUGUGAAUUCCUCUAAGUAUUAUUCUUUCAAGUGUCCAUAUUCAUUGGUUUCGGCCUAGAGUCUUAGCACUUGGCAUAGUCUUUGCGGUGUUCGGUUUGAGCUCUCAAGAGUCAGUUCAUUUAAUUGGCUCACUUUGUAAGUAACGUUCGUUCUAGUCGUUCUUGUGAUAUAUGAUUGUACUCGGUUUCUUUCUCAAUCCGAUAUUAACCCUCUCAGUCUUAAUCUGUUCUGGAACUGGAGACCUCUCUGUCUCGCUCCAAGUGUUCGUUCUCGUUCUGAGUUAGGAUUGAACGUUCGGUAUUUGGUGUCCUUAAUAAUAUUUGUACAAAGGUGAAAUUGAGAUGAUUAAUAAUGAAAGAUGAAGAGAAUAUGAUAUGGAUGAAACGUUUUGGAUUAUGGACGAGCGUUCCGGGGAGGAAUGACUCAUGAAUGUAUAUUGGAAUCGGUAAAGUAUGAAUGUGGGCAUGCUAAGCUGGCGGUUCAUCUUGAUGUUCCGUGAUUACUCGUCCUCACGUAGAGGAGGGUAAGUCAUGUGUGGAAACGGCAGGAGGUCCUAGUCCUUAUGGUUAAUUUGGACAGAUAGGUCCUAGUCAUGCGUGAUUACUUGUCUGUUUUGUACGUUCGGUCGUCCUUCUGUUGCAAUGAUCAUCUAUGUGGAUGUGAGCAGAAGGAGACGAGCUGCUGGAAGAGGCGCUGGAGGAAGAUAACUUAGUCGAGGUAGAAGUUAAGACCGAACAGUAGAACCGUUCGGUCAAUAGUAGUUUGAUAUUAAGGUGAUCGCUCGAUCACCUUUUCCCUUUUGCUUUUGGUAGGACAUUUCGGUAUAGUAUUUUGUAAACCGUUCGGUUGGAAAUUACUUAUGUCGUUUAAUUUUUAAUUUCCUAGUCUUUCUGUAAGGCCGUUCGGCCACAGCCGUACGUUCUCUUUAAUGUAAGACUGAUCUGUAAUAUUAAUUAAUAUAAUUAUUCUAUCA
RNAcentral lists this small RNA (1801 nucleotides) under Vigna angularis var. angularis. RNAcentral describes it as "Non-protein coding transcript". Lineage: Eukaryota; Viridiplantae; Streptophyta; Magnoliopsida; Fabales; Fabaceae. The record is from RNAcentral.